GGAUUGUGGCUCAGCGGUAGAGCACUCACCUGGCACAAGAGAGGCCCUGGGUUCGAUUCUCAGCACCA
This 68-nucleotide transfer RNA is filed under the name Marmota monax (woodchuck). RNAcentral's name for it is "tRNA.Ala". The stretch from base 5 to 65 matches the Rfam family "tRNA", at positions 6 to 65 of the family's 71-position model. From Rfam's summary of the family: Transfer RNA (tRNA) molecules are approximately 80 nucleotides in length. Their secondary structure includes four short double-helical elements and three loops (D, anti-codon, and T loops). Further hydrogen bonds mediate the characteristic L-shaped molecular structure. tRNAs have two regions of fundamental functional importance: the anti-codon, which is responsible for specific mRNA codon recognition, and the 3' end, to which the tRNAs corresponding amino acid is attached (by aminoacyl-tRNA synthetases). tRNAs cope with the degeneracy of the genetic code in two manners: having more than one tRNA (with a specific anti-codon) for a particular amino acid; and 'wobble' base-pairing, i.e. permitting non-standard base-pairing at the 3rd anti-codon position. Lineage: Eukaryota; Metazoa; Chordata; Mammalia; Rodentia; Sciuridae. The record is from RNAcentral.